GCAAUUGAUGAAAGAGAAACUGGUUGUUUCCAUCACAGAGUUAAUGAUGCAUCUGGUUCAGCAUUCAAGGGAGCUGAUCCAGCAGGAGAAGUUGGCAAGAGCCCAGCUGCUGUCCUGUGCCAACCAGUCAGCACCGCAUGAGCUGAUCCAUGUGGUGGCACUUCUCUCUGAUCUCGGAAUUCUGGAGGUUAAAGGACCAGAGUUCAACAUCAUCUUGAGCCAUAUAACGACUUCAUGGCCAGCCUGGGCUGUAUGAGACCCUGGAUAGAAAGAGAUGCGGAGAGAAGGAGAAAGAGGAUAGAGAAAAAGAGAAAGAGAGAAGAAAUGAAGAAAGUCUUCCUCCCUACCCUUACUGCCUCCUCCUAACACAUCCCCAAAAAAAAGAAGAAGGAGGAGGACUAGAAGAAAAGGGAGAAAGGAGGAGGAGGAGGAGAAGGAGAAGAAAGGAGAGGAAGAAGAAAAUGAAAAAGAAGAAGAAAAAGAAGAAGAUGAUGAUGAUGAAGAAGAAGAAGAAGAAGAAGAAGAAGAAGAAGAAGAAGAAGAAGAAGAAGAAGAAGAAGAAGAAGAAGAAGAAGUCAUCCAAUUUGUGUUACCCAUAUAUUCACAGGAACAUGGCCAACCAAACUCCUGGUGGCCAGCUCCUUAAGGAAAACUGAGUCCUUCUCCACCUGCAUCCCCUCCUGUAGCCAUCAGCACCGACUGGACUUGUAGUCAUGAUCUUCCUGACUCAGCCUCCUCAGCACUGGGAUCACGAGCAUGCACCACCACACCC
Long non-coding RNA from Meriones unguiculatus (Mongolian gerbil), 772 nucleotides. RefSeq lists it as uncharacterized. The record is from RefSeq and is a predicted model, not a curated record. The transcript is spliced from 4 exons. Lineage: Eukaryota; Metazoa; Chordata; Mammalia; Rodentia; Muridae.